CCUACGGUGGGCUGCAGUCGAGAAUCAUUCACAAUGGAGGCAACUCUGAUGGUGCGACGCCGCGUGCGGGAAUGAAGCUCUUCGAAUUGUAAACUCCUGUUAUGUGGGCGCAAAUUACAAAGAUUGUACCGCAAUAGGAAGAGCGGGCUAAAUCUGUGCCAGCAGCUGCGGUAAUACAGCGGCUUCAAGCGUUGUGCGGCAUCACUGGGCGUAAUGCGUGCGUAGGCUGUUGCGUAAGUCGUGGGUGAAAGGCGCGGGCUCAACCCGCGGACGGCACAUGAUACUGUCGGGCUAGAGUAAUGGUGGGGUAAGCGGAAUGUACGGUGUAGCAGUGAAAUGCAUAGAGAUC
Molecule: ribosomal RNA, 349 nt
Filed under: uncultured bacterium
Lineage: Bacteria
Description: partial 16S ribosomal RNA
Rfam family: Bacterial small subunit ribosomal RNA
Source: RNAcentral